Molecule: long non-coding RNA, 970 nt
Organism: Mesocricetus auratus (golden hamster)
Lineage: Eukaryota; Metazoa; Chordata; Mammalia; Rodentia; Cricetidae
Exons: 2
Source: RefSeq, a predicted model, not a curated record
GCCCUCCUAUUGGCCACUGUGUUCAUAAAGGGGCGUGGCCACAGCCAGGCUCCCGCCCAACCACCGGGCACGAGUAGGAGCGCGCGCCGAGGGAGGGAGUUCGGUUGAAGCGGCGGUUCCAUGCGGAAGUGGCGGGUGCAGCGCCCAGGCCGCCCCGGAAUCCCACAUCAGGAUAGGAAAGGUGGCCUGGGGCGGGGAAGGUUUAGCGAAGGGCGCACUGACACGUCGCCAACACUUCCGGUGCUCUAGAUCUCGGGACCGAAUCGGCUGUGAAGGGGGCGUUGCCGCUGUCCCCAUCACCCCCUUUUACUCCUCAGAAGGGCGAGAGCACAAACUCCAGCGGGAGAAGCAGUGGGUUUUUUCCCCCCGUGUGAGGCCGAGGGGCCAGCGUCUCUCUGAGAUGCCACAUGUACAGGUGGCCGACCCGAGUCCCACGAGGAUGAGGCCCCGCCUCCACCCCUUAGUAGGCGCGCGACGUGUGGUAGCGUCCACGGGGCCGUCCAAUCAGAAUGCUCCAACGCAGCGGAAACGCGUGGCCUUUAGGGGAGGAGCCCCAGCUGCCUGCGUCUCCAUGGCGACGGUGUCCGGCGGGCCUGCGAACCUGAGUGGUUGAGCUAGGGCUUUCUCCUCCCCGUGGGUGGUGAUCGCUGUUGGGUGACCUGGCCCACCUGGCACAGGCACGUCCCGAACUGCCCAGCGCUCUUCUGCUUUAGCGUCCCUACCCUUGGGUAUCUGCCCAAACCCCUAUUUUUAACGCUGAGAAAACGGGCUGAGAGAGUUCCACCGCAAACCCCCACCGAAGCCAGGCCAGCCUCAAACGCGCUUUGUAGCUGAGGGUGGCACCAAGCGCCUGGACCUCCUGAGCUACCUCACCAGCCCAGCAGCAUAUUUUUAAAGCUAGCCUUGUGGGACCAUUGAGUGUGUAGAUGUGCGUCAAUAAAUACAUCUUGAGUGUUUGGGGCCACAGAGA